Long non-coding RNA from Triticum aestivum (bread wheat), 1066 nucleotides. RefSeq lists it as uncharacterized. The record is from RefSeq and is a predicted model, not a curated record. Lineage: Eukaryota; Viridiplantae; Streptophyta; Magnoliopsida; Poales; Poaceae. The transcript has 2 exons.
AAAAAAAAAUCUACACACACGGCUCACGACUCCAACCACACACCCGUCCCCAUCCCAAUGACCUAAGCCACAUCCAUCCAUGGGGCCGUGUCUUCAUUCCUCGCCGUCCGUCCGCCGCCGCCGCCGCCGCAUCCAGACCCCGCCAUCCGGCGCCGCGUCCGUAUUCCCCGGCCCAGCGCCGCAUUCAGACCCCGCGUCCGCAUUCCUGCUGGCCUCCCCUCUGCGGCGCUUUGCUCUGGCCUCGCCGACGCAACCCGCAUCUCCAGUCUCCCCUCGGCGGCGCCAUGCUCUGGACUCGUCGAUGCUUCGCGCACCUCCGGCCUCCCCUCCUCAGCACCCUUCUUCGACCUCCCUCCCCAACGCGGUCCACACCAGCAACCUCCCUUCCUCCCCCUUCAGCAGCUCCCUUGAGGUGAAUCAAUCACGGGAUGAAUGGAGUCGCGCCGUCGGCCAUGGCGGCAGGGGCAGCCUAGAAGACCUCAAACCUGCUGGCUCCUCUCCCUGAUGGGCAAGUUCUCAGUUCCUCAAAUACCUUCUGAAGCAUUGGUCAGAGCUGCCACCUUAUAAGCUGAUUGUGACAUAUGGGGCGCAUUCUUACAAGAAUUACAAGGGUGACCAGUGCACCAUGUCUUCUUGGAGCUGGGACAUCCGUGGAGAGAGGCAGAUGGUCAUAUUUGAUAUAAGAGCUAAAAUAGCAAAUAAAUUAGUACGCGGACUUCUAAAAAUUAUGCAAAGAACAAAAGAACCAAACAAUGUCCUCCGUCGAAGAGCACAAGAAGCAAAGGGAGGUCGUGAACCUUGUUGUGCAACUACAUGUUAUUUUGUGGAGCACUAUGCAGACCAGAACCUUGCUGUGUAGUUGUGUAGCUGCUGCAACUACAUGUUAUUUUGUCGAGCACCAUGCAUAUGUGAGAACCUUGCUGUGUAACUGCUGCAACUGCAUGUUAUUUUGUGGAACACCAUGCAUAUGUAUGUGAGAACCUUGCCGUGUAACUGCUGUAACUACUUGUUUUUUUAUGCAUAUGUGAACGUGUUGUGUAGCUGAUGCAACUAUCUUAUUGUACUA